AUACGGAGGGUGCAAGCGUUGUUCGGAAUUAUUGGGCGUAAAGCGCGUGUAGGCGGUCUGUUAAGUCUGGUGCGAAAGCCCUGGGCUCAACCCAGGAAGUGCAUUGGAUACUGACAGACUUGAGUAUGGGAGAGGAAAGCGGAAUUCCGAGUGUAGGAGUGAAAUCCGUAGAUAUUCAGAGGAACACCAGUGGCGAAGGCGGCUUUCUGGACCAAUACUGACGCUGAGACGCGAAAGCGUGGGGAGCAAACCGGAUUAGAUACCCUAGUAGUCC
This 274-nucleotide ribosomal RNA is filed under the name uncultured bacterium. Its description in RNAcentral is "partial 16S ribosomal RNA". It matches the Rfam family "Bacterial small subunit ribosomal RNA", at positions 523 to 796 of the family's 1533-position model. The record is from RNAcentral.